UGCAGCUUUACGUGUUUUGUAACUACA
RNAcentral lists this non-coding RNA (27 nucleotides) under Mus musculus (house mouse). Lineage: Eukaryota; Metazoa; Chordata; Mammalia; Rodentia; Muridae. The record is from RNAcentral.